GUCCAUGCCCCUCUAAUCAAAGAAAUGUGAGGUUAACAAGAGGCUCCAAAUACAUUUCCUGGCAACAAGACAAAAGUUAGUCUACUGAGAAGUUUAUGCAGAGGGAAUAUUUCUUGUAUAUACAGUUGUGUCUUGUUCUCAGAUGCCCAUACCAAAGCAAUUACUGCAUGGGAGAUGCCGACUGGCUGGAAGAACCUGUUCAUUCUGGGUCUGGAAUGGAGUCUGUGAGGAGCUCAGUUUCCUGGGGUGGAAGGAGGCAGCAGUCUGAUCUCCGGUGGUUUGUGCCUGGGCUGAGUUCCAACCUGAUGGAGAAGAUGGUCUGAAGGACAAGAGCAUCCCCCACUUGUGAUGGGCUGCUUGUAUUGCCUGUCCUGGUGUUGAGCAGGCAGGGUGAGUGCACUGCAGCGAGGCCGUGGGUUCCUGGAUCCGAUUGCUUCCAGGGACAGUAGGGAACACCUCCCCCUCCACAUCCAUGAUCAGGUCUAUGAGCACAGGCAAACCCACAAGAUCAAGAGCCCAAAUUUAUAGGCAGCUCCCAUGGGAAUUG
This 547-nucleotide long non-coding RNA is filed under the name Parus major (Great Tit). Its description in RNAcentral is "lncRNA (ENSPMJG00000010543.1)". Lineage: Eukaryota; Metazoa; Chordata; Aves; Passeriformes; Paridae. The record is from RNAcentral.